GACGAACGCUGGCGGCGUGCUUAACACAUGCAAGUCGAACGGAAAGGCCCUGCUUGCAGGGUCCUCGAGUGGCGAACGGGUGAGUAACACGUGGGUGAUCUGCCCUGCACUUCGGGAUAAGCCUGGGUAACUGGGUCUAAUACCGGACAGGAGCCAUUUUUAGUGUGAUGGUUGGAAAGUUUUUUCGGUGUAGGAUGAGCUCGCGGCCUAUCAGCUUGUUGGUGGUGUAAUGGCCUACCAAGGCGGCGGCGGGUAGCCGGCCUGGGUGGGUGGACGGCCACAGUGGGACUGAGACUCGGCCCCGACUCCGACGGGUGGGAGCAGCGGGGGAGAGUGAAAAAUGGGCGCGAGCCUGAUGCAGCUACGGCGCGGGGGGGAUGGCGGUCUUCGGGUUGGAAACGCAAUGCGCUAGUGACGAAGCUUUUUGUGACGGUACCUAGAGAAGAAGCACCGGCUAACUACGUG
RNAcentral lists this ribosomal RNA (465 nucleotides) under uncultured bacterium. Its description in RNAcentral is "partial 16S ribosomal RNA". It matches the Rfam family "Bacterial small subunit ribosomal RNA", at positions 28 to 507 of the family's 1533-position model. The record is from RNAcentral.